CUAUACAUGCAAGUCGAGCGGACAGAAGGGAGCUUGCUCCCGGAUGUUAGCGGCGGACGGGUGAGUAACACGUGGGUAACCUGCCUGUAAGACUGGGAUAACUCCGGGAAACCGGAGCUAAUACCGGAUAGUUCCUUGAACCGCAUGGUUCAAGGAUGAAAGACGGUUUCGGCUGUCACUUACAGAUGGACCCGCGGCGCAUUAGCUAGUUGGUGGGGUAAUGGCUCACCAAGGCGACGAUGCGUAGCCGACCUGAGAGGGUGAUCGGCCACACUGGGACUGAGACACGGCCCAGACUCCUACGGGAGGCAGCAGUAGGGAAUCUUCCGCAAUGGACGAAAGUCUGACGGAGCAACGCCGCGUGAGUGAUGAAGGUUUUCGGAUCGUAAAGCUCUGUUGUUAGGGAAGAACAAGUGCGAGAGUAACUGCUCGCACCUUGACGGUACCUAACCAGAAAGCCACGGCUAACUACGUGCCAGCAGCCGCGGUAAUACGUAGGUGGCAAGCGUUGUCCGGAAUUAUUGGGCGUAAAGGGCUCGCAGGCGGUUUCUUAAGUCUGAUGUGAAAGCCCCCGGCUCAACCGGGGAGGGUCAUUGGAAACUGGGAAACUUGAGUGCAGAAGAGGAGAGUGGAAUUCCACGUGUAGCGGUGAAAUGCGUAGAGAUGUGGAGGAACACCAGUGGCGAAGGCGACUCUCUGGUCUGUAACUGACGCUGAGGAGCGAAAGCGUGGGGAGCGAACAGGAUUAGAUACCCUGGUAGUCCACGCCGUAAACGAUGAGUGCUAAGUGUUAGGGGGUUUCCGCCCCUUAGUGCUGCAGCUAACGCAUUAAGCACUCCGCCUGGGGAGUACGGUCGCAAGACUGAAACUCAAAGGAAUUGACGGGGGCCCGCACAAGCGGUGGAGCAUGUGGUUUAAUUCGAAGCAACGCGAAGAACCUUACCAGGUCUUGACAUCCUCUGACAACCCUAGAGAUAGGGCUUUCCCUUCGGGGACAGAGUGACAGGUG
Molecule: ribosomal RNA, 1009 nt
Filed under: Bacillus safensis
Lineage: Bacteria; Bacillati; Bacillota; Bacilli; Caryophanales; Bacillaceae
Description: bacterial SSU rRNA
Rfam family: Bacterial small subunit ribosomal RNA
Source: RNAcentral